CCUACGGGUGGCAGCAGUGAGGAAUAUUGGUCAAUGGGCGAGAGCCUGAACCAGCCAAGUCGCGUGAGGGAGUACUGCCCUAUGGGUUGUAAACCUCUUUUGUCGGGGAGCAAAAGCCGGACGUGUCCGGCUGUGAGAGUACCCGAAGAAAAAGCAUCGGCUAACUCCGUGCCAGCAGCCGCGGUAAUACGGAGGAUGCGAUCGUUAUCCGGAUUUAUUGGGUUAAAAGGGCGCGCAGGCGGAUGUUUAAGUCAGCGGUAAAAUCGUGGGGCUCAACCCCAUCCAGCCGUUGACACUGGGGAUCUAGAGUGUGCGAGAGGUAUGCGGAAUGCGUGGUGUAGCGGUGAAAUGCAUAGAUAUCACGCAGAACCCCGAUUGCGAAGGCAGCAUACCGGUGCACAACUGACGCUCAGGCACGAAAGCGUGGGUAUCGAACAGGAUUAGAUACCCCAGUAGUC
Molecule: ribosomal RNA, 458 nt
Filed under: uncultured bacterium
Lineage: Bacteria
Description: partial 16S ribosomal RNA
Rfam family: Bacterial small subunit ribosomal RNA
Source: RNAcentral